This 440-nucleotide long non-coding RNA is filed under the name Medicago truncatula (barrel medic). RNAcentral describes it as "long non-coding RNA (MTRU_LNC002125)". The record is from RNAcentral. Lineage: Eukaryota; Viridiplantae; Streptophyta; Magnoliopsida; Fabales; Fabaceae.
UGAAUAAAUAAGCUAGAACCAUAUAUUAAAAGAUCAAAAGUUUACAUAAUGGCUUGUGUGAAUACCUCAAAACCCACAAGGGUAUAUAUAACUACAUAUGUCUACGAUAGCUUUGCAAAGGAUGAAAAAAAGAUGAAGAUGUCAUGCCUAAAUUCAUGAUGUCUCAACAAAUCUUGGGUUGAAUCUACUCUUAACUACCUUGCCUUGUGUUUCUCUCUAGAAAUGUCAUCUCUCUCCAAGACUUGAACCUAUGUGCUGCUUCCUCCUUCUUGUCUUCAAAACGUGAAGAAGAAAAACUUGGUUACUGUGCGGCUCCCUUCAUAGUGGCGUGAUGCCUCUCUUUUGUCUUCAGCCCUUUCCUUUUCUUUUUCUUCACUCGGGUCAACAAUAAAACAUGGGUCAAAGGCCCAAUUGUAAAUUUCUAAAUCCCUUAGCACAUG